This 451-nucleotide ribosomal RNA is filed under the name uncultured bacterium. Its description in RNAcentral is "bacterial SSU rRNA". It matches the Rfam family "Bacterial small subunit ribosomal RNA", at positions 354 to 796 of the family's 1533-position model. The record is from RNAcentral.
GUGGGGAAUAUUGGACAAUGGGGGGAACCCUGAUCCAGCCAUGCCGCGUGUGUGAAGAAGGCCUUUUGGUUGUAAAGCACUUUAAGCGAGGAGGAGGCUACCGAGAUUAAUACUCUUGGAUAGUGGACGUUACUCGCAGAAUAAGCACCGGCUAACUCUGUGCCAGCAGCCGCGGUAAUACAGAGGGUGCAAGCGUUAAUCGGAUUUACUGGGCGUAAAGCGCGCGUAGGUGGCCAAUUAAGUCAAAUGUGAAAUCCCCGAGCUUAACUUGGGAAUUGCAUUCGAGACUGGUUGGCUAGAGUAUGGGAGAGGAUGGUAGAAUUCCAGGUGUAGCGGUGAAAUGCGUAGAGAUCUGGAGGAAUACCGAUGGCGAAGGCAGCCAUCUGGCCUAAUACUGACACUGAGGUGCGAAAGCAUGGGGAGCAAACAGGACUAGAAACCCUAGUAGUCC